This 529-nucleotide ribosomal RNA is filed under the name uncultured bacterium. RNAcentral describes it as "bacterial SSU rRNA". It matches the Rfam family "Bacterial small subunit ribosomal RNA", at positions 980 to 1509 of the family's 1533-position model. The record is from RNAcentral.
CUUGACAUCCAGCGAAUUCGGUAGAGAUACCUUAGUGGCCUUCGGGAACGCUGAGACAGGUGCUGCAUGGCUGUCGUCAGCUCGUGUUGUGAAAUGUUGGGUUAAGUCCCGCAACGAGCGCAACCCUUAUCCUUUGUUGCCAGCGGUCCGGCCGGGAACUCAAAGGAGACUGCCAGUGAUAAACUGGAGGAAGUGGGGAUGACGUCAAGUCAUCAUGGCCCUUACGAGUAGGGCUACACACGUGCUACAAUGGCGCAUACAAAGAGAAGCGACCUCGCGAGAGCAAGCGGACCUCAUAAAGUGCGUCGUAGUCCGGAUUGGAGUCUGCAACUCGACUCCAUGAAGUCGGAAUCGCUAGUAAUCGUAGAUCAGAAUGCUACGGUGAAUACGUUCCCGGGCCUUGUACACACCGCCCGUCACACCAUGGGAGUGGGUUGCAAAAGAAGUAGGUAGCUUAACCUUCGGGAGGGCGCUUACCACUUUGUGAUUCAUGACUGGGGUGAAGUCGUAACAAGGUAGGCGUAGACGU